This is a non-coding RNA of Prolemur simus (greater bamboo lemur), 150 nucleotides long. The record is from Ensembl. NCBI's taxonomy places the organism in Eukaryota, Metazoa, Chordata, Mammalia, Primates, Lemuridae.
GUGAAUGUGGAGCAGUUUCCCCACCAAUUAUCUUAUGAUUAUAAUGUGAAAGAAGUGCGAUCACAGACAGUCGCACACAUCAAAACACAUGGUUCCUGCCGACAGGGUCUGUAUAGUUAUCAGAUUUUCUGUGUGAUGGCUCCAUACAAG